GCCAGGUGAGGUAGUGCACACCUGUAAUCCCAGUAAUUUAGGAGGCUGAGGCAGGAGGAUUGCAAGUUCCGGGCCAGCCUCAGCAAUUUAGUGAGGUCUUAAGUGACUUAGAAAGACCCUAUCUCAA
This 127-nucleotide small RNA is filed under the name Marmota monax (woodchuck). Lineage: Eukaryota; Metazoa; Chordata; Mammalia; Rodentia; Sciuridae. The record is from RNAcentral.